Molecule: ribosomal RNA, 497 nt
Filed under: uncultured bacterium
Lineage: Bacteria
Description: partial 16S ribosomal RNA
Rfam family: Bacterial small subunit ribosomal RNA
Source: RNAcentral
GACGAACGCUGGCGGCGUGCCUAAUACAUGCCAGUUGAGCGCUGAAGGUUGGUACUUGUACCAACUGGAUGAGCAGCGAACGGGUGAGUAACGCGUGGGGAAUCUGCCUUUGAGCGGGGGACAACAUUUGGAAACGAAUGCUAAUACCGCAUAAAAACUUUAAACACAAGUUUUAAGUUUGAAAGAUGCAAUUGCAUCACUCAAAGAUGAUCCCGCGUUGUAUUAGCUAGUUGGUGAGGUAAAGGCUCACCAAGGCGAUGAUACAUAGCCGACCUGAGAGGGUGAUCGGCCACAUUGGGACUGAGACACGGCCCAAACUCCUACGGGAGGCAGCAGUAGGGAAUCUUCGGCAAUGGACGAAAGUCUGGCCGAGCAACGCCGCGUGAGUGAAGAAGGUUUUCGGAUCGUAAAACUCUGUUGGUAGAGAAGAACGUUGGUGAGAGUGGAAAGCUCAUCAAGUGACGGUAACUACCCAGAAAGGGACGGCUAACUACGUG